AUUGAACGCUGGCGGCAGGCCUAACACAUGCAAGUCGAGCGGAUGAAGGGAGCUUGCUCCUGGAUUCAGCGGCGGACGGGUGAGUAAUGCCUAGGAAUCUGCCUGGUAGUGGGGGAUAACGUCCGGAAACGGGCGCUAAUACCGCAUACGUCCUGAGGGAGAAAGUGGGGGAUCUUCGGACCUCACGCUAUCAGAUGAGCCUAGGUCGGAUUAGCUAGUUGGUGGGGUAAAGGCCUACCAAGGCGACGAUCCGUAACUGGUCUGAGAGGAUGAUCAGUCAAACUGGAACUGAGACACGGUCCAGACUCCUACGGGAGGCAGCAGUGGGGAAUAUUGGACAGUGGGCGAAAGCCUGAUCCAGCCAUGCCGCGUGUGUGAAGAAGGUCUUCGGAUUGUAAAGCACUUUAAGUUGGGAGGAAGGGCAGUAAGUUAAUACCUUGCUGUUUUGACGUUACCAACAGAAUAAGCACCGGCUAACUGCGU
Molecule: ribosomal RNA, 483 nt
Filed under: uncultured bacterium
Lineage: Bacteria
Description: partial 16S ribosomal RNA
Rfam family: Bacterial small subunit ribosomal RNA
Source: RNAcentral